Molecule: ribosomal RNA, 467 nt
Filed under: uncultured bacterium
Lineage: Bacteria
Description: partial 16S ribosomal RNA
Rfam family: Bacterial small subunit ribosomal RNA
Source: RNAcentral
GACGAACGCUGGCGGCGUGCUUAACACAUGCAAGUCGAACGGAAAGGCCCUGCUUUUGUGGGGUGCUCGAGUGGCGAACGGGUGAGUAACACGUGAGUAACCUGCCCUUGACUUUGGGAUAACUUCAGGAAACUGGGGCUAAUACCGGAUAGGAGCUCCUGCUGCAUGGUGGGGGUUGGAAAGUUUCGGCGGUUGGGGAUGGACUCGCGGCUUAUCAGCUUGUUGGUGGGGUAGUGGCUUACCAAGGCUUUGACGGGUAGCCGGCCUGAGAGGGUGACCGGCCACAUUGGGACUGGGAUACGGCCCAGACUCCUAGGGGGGGAAGGGGUGGGGAAUAUUGCAAAAGGGGGGGAGGCCGGAGGGAGCAACGCCGGGGGGGGGAUGACGGCCUUCGGGUUGGAAACCGCUUUCGCCUGGGACGAAGGGGGGGGGAGGGUAAUGGGUAAAGAAGCACCGGCUAAAUACGG